This 605-nucleotide ribosomal RNA is filed under the name uncultured bacterium. RNAcentral's name for it is "bacterial SSU rRNA". It matches the Rfam family "Bacterial small subunit ribosomal RNA", at positions 60 to 653 of the family's 1533-position model. The record is from RNAcentral.
AGUCGAGGGGCAGCAUUUCAUUUUGCUUGCAAAGUGAAGAUGGCGACCGGCGCACGGGUGAGUAACACGUAUCCAACCUGCCGAUAACUCGGGGAUAGCCUUUCGAAAGAAAGAUUAAUAUCCGAUAGCAUAUCAAUCCCGCAUGAGAUUGAUAUUAAAGAAUUUCGGUUAUCGAUGGGGAUGCGUUCCAUUAGUUUGUUGGCGGGGUAACGGCCCACCAAGACUACGAUGGAUAGGGGUUCUGAGAGGAAGGUCCCCCACAUUGGAACUGAGACACGGUCCAAACUCCUACGGGAGGCAGCAGUGAGGAAUAUUGGUCAAUGGACGUAAGUCUGAACCAGCCAAGUAGCGUGAAGGAUGACUGCCCUAUGGGUUGUAAACUUCUUUUAUAUGGGAAUAAAGUAUUCCACGUGUGGGAUUUUGUAUGUACCAUAUGAAUAAGGAUCGGCUAACUCCGUGCCAGCAGCCGCGGUAAUACGGAGGAUCCGAGCGUUAUCCGGAUUUAUUGGGUUUAAAGGGAGCGUAGGUGGAUUGUUAAGUCAGUUGUGAAAGUUUGCGGCUCAACCGUAAAAUUGCAGUUGAAACUGGCAGUCUUGAGUACAGUA